Molecule: ribosomal RNA, 490 nt
Filed under: uncultured bacterium
Lineage: Bacteria
Description: partial 16S ribosomal RNA
Rfam family: Bacterial small subunit ribosomal RNA
Source: RNAcentral
AUUGAACGCUGGCGGCAGGCCUAACACAUGCAAGUCGAACGGUAACAGGAAGAAGCUUCCUUCUUUGCUGACGAGUGGCGGACGGGUGAGUAAUGUCUGGGAAACUGCCUGAUGGAGGGGGAUAACUACUGGAAACGGUAGCUAAUACCGCAUAAUGUCGCAAGACCAAAGAGGGGGACCUUCGGGCCUCUUGCCAUCGGAUGUGCCCAGAUGGGAUUAGCUAGUAGGUGGGGUAACGGCUCACCUAGGCGACGAUCCCUAGCUGGUCUGAGAGGAUGACCAGCCACACUGGAACUGAGACACGGUCCAGACUCCUACGGGAGGCAGCAGUGGGGAAUAUUGCACAAUGGGCGCAAGCCUGAUGCAGCUAUGCCGCGUGUAUGAAGAAGGCCUUCGGGUUGUAAAGUACUUUCAGCGGGGAGGAAGGGAGUAAAGUUAAUACCUUUGCUCAUUGACGUUACCCGCAGAAGAAGCACCGGCUAACUCCGUG